GACGAACGCUGGCGGCGUGCUUAACACAUGCAAGUCGAACGGAAAGGCCCUGCUUUUGUGGGGUGCUCGAGUGGCGAACGGGUGAGUAACACGUGAGUAACCUGCCCUUGACUUUGGGAUAACUUCAGGGAACUGGGGCUAAUACCGGAUAGGAGCUCCUGCUGCAUGGUGGGGGUUGGAAAGUUUCGGCGGUUGGGGAUGGACUCGCGGCUUAUCAGCUUGUUGGUGGGGUAGUGGCUUACCAAGGCUUUGACGGGUAGCCGGCCUGAGAGGGUGACCGGCCACAUUGGGGCUGAGAUACGGCCCAGACUCCUACGGGAGGCAGCAGUGGGGAAUAUUGCACAAUGGGCGGAAGCCUGAUGCAGCAACGCCGCGUGCGGGAUGACGGCCUUCGGGUUGUAAACCGCUUUCGCCUGUGACGAAGCGUGAGUGACGGUAAUGGGUAAAGAAGCACCGGCUAACUACGUG
Molecule: ribosomal RNA, 468 nt
Filed under: uncultured bacterium
Lineage: Bacteria
Description: partial 16S ribosomal RNA
Rfam family: Bacterial small subunit ribosomal RNA
Source: RNAcentral